UCCACAUUGAAUCAUACUCACCACAAGAAAAUGUUAUAAAAUAAUAACAAAACACUUCACCUUAUCGAAAAUAUAAUUAUUAGUUUAUUAUAAAAACUUUUGAGUGAUAAGAGUACACAUAUACAAACAUAGGUAGCAUCUUAUUGUUCAACGGCAGUAAUAAACAAGGCAAUAUUACACAUAUUACAAAUUGCACAACAAAAUC
This 205-nucleotide long non-coding RNA is filed under the name Trifolium pratense (red clover). Its description in RNAcentral is "long non-coding RNA (TPRA_LNC012708)". The record is from RNAcentral. Lineage: Eukaryota; Viridiplantae; Streptophyta; Magnoliopsida; Fabales; Fabaceae.